Molecule: ribosomal RNA, 1056 nt
Filed under: uncultured Halanaerobium sp.
Lineage: Bacteria; Bacillati; Bacillota; Clostridia; Halanaerobiales; Halanaerobiaceae
Description: bacterial SSU rRNA
Rfam family: Bacterial small subunit ribosomal RNA
Source: RNAcentral
GAGUUUGAUCCUGGCUCAGGACGAACGCUGGCGGCGUGCUUAACACAUGCAAGUCGAACGGUCUACCUCGACAGAAACCUUCGGGUUGAAGACGAGAUCUAGAUAGUGGCGGACGGGUGAGUAACACGUGAAUAAUCUGUCCUCAAGUCCGGGAUAACCUGGCGAAAGUCGGGCUAAUCCGGGGUAAGCUGAGAGUGUGGCAUCACACAAUCAGAAAAGGUGCUUUUAGCAUCGUUUGAGGAGGAGUUCGCGGUAGAUUAGCUGGCUGGUGAGGUAAUGGCUCACCAGGGCAACAAUCUAUAGCUGGUCUGAGAGGACGAUCAGUCACACUGGAACUGAGACACGGUCCAGACUCCUACGGGAGGCAGCAGUGGGGAAUCUUCCACAAUGGGCGAAAGCCUGAUGGAGCAACGCCGCGUGAGUGAAGAAGGUCUUAGGAUUGUAAAGCUCUGUCCUUAGGGAAGAACCGUGGGUAUAGUUAAUGAUACCCACCUGACGGUACCUUUGGAGGAAGCACUGGCUAACUAUGUGCCAGCAGCCGCGGUAAUACGUAGAGUGCAAGCGUUGUCCGGAAUUAUUGGGCGUAAAGGGUACGCAGGCGGAUAAUCAAGUCAAGCGUGAAAGGUGUCGGCUUAACCGACAGACUGCGUUUGAAACUGGUUAUCUUGAGUGUAACAGAGGAGAGUGGAAUUCCUAGUGUAGUGGUGAAAUACGUAGAUAUUAGGAAGAACACCAGUGGCGAAGGCGACUCUCUGGGUUAACACUGACGCUGAGGUACGAAAGCUGGGGGAGCGAACGGGAUUAGAUACCCCGGUAGUCCCAGCCGUAAACGAUGGAUACUAGGUGUUGGAGGUUCGAAUCCUUCAGUGCCGGAGUUAACGCAUUAAGUAUCCCGCCUGGGGAUUACGAUCGCAAGAUUGAACUCAAAGGAAUUGACGGGGGCCCGCACAACCGGUGGAGCAUGUGGUUUAAUUCGAAGCAACGCGAAGAACCUUACCGAGAAUUGACAUCCCGUGACCAUCUAUGAGAGUAGAAUUUAGCACUUAGUUGCUACAC